RNAcentral lists this long non-coding RNA (722 nucleotides) under Brassica napus (rape). RNAcentral's name for it is "long non-coding RNA (BNAP_LNC005868)". Lineage: Eukaryota; Viridiplantae; Streptophyta; Magnoliopsida; Brassicales; Brassicaceae. The record is from RNAcentral.
CGACAAAAACAAAGAGAGAGAGAGAGAGACAGACCUCUUGGACUCUCGCGUAACGGCAACGAGUCUCUUUCUCAACUCUUGUAUCGAUAUCUGUGCUCUAUUCACCUCUCCCUCUCUCUCUCUUUAAAGCAGCUCACUUUUACUUAAAAUUGCCAGUAGAUCUCACUCUUUUAGGGUUUAAGAGCAUUGUAACUCUCCAGCCAUGGAUUCACUUCUCUCAAGCAGCUCCUAUAGAUUCGUUGGAAAUGGUAAUGUGGUUUCUGAUAUUUAUUUGUUGCGUUUUCUGGUUCUCUGCUUCAAUGUAGGCCGUGAACUUGUCGGAUUGUUAGUAGGUGUUGUUGAUUGGGAAACUAUUGUUAUUGAUAUGAAUAGUGAAAUAAGCCCAAUUAGCUGUGGUAAUGUGUGUCAAAUGAAGAAGUAAUGUUAAAUCUAAGGUUGUAUUAGGAUUAAUUGAGAGCUUUAAUCUUGAGGAAUUUUAAAGGCCUGAUGACUGUUGAGGGUAGCAGAAAGUCCCUUUGUGUUGUAAACUUUUGCUUUUGCUCAUUAAUCAUUUUCUCUGUUCCCCGCUGAUGUUACUUAGGUGGUCAUAUCAUACAAGAGAGAUUUUGCAGAGAGCUGAUCCAAGGAUAUUCUCCUGGUUAGUUUUGAUUAUGCCAGCAAGGUUGUGGGGAUUGGAAUGAAGCCAUUGGUCCGUGUAUACAAAAACAAUUGAUGUCUAUCUU